Molecule: ribosomal RNA, 253 nt
Filed under: uncultured bacterium
Lineage: Bacteria
Description: partial 16S ribosomal RNA
Rfam family: Bacterial small subunit ribosomal RNA
Source: RNAcentral
UACGUAGGGGGCAAGCGUUGUCCGGAAUCAUUGGGCGUAAAGCGCGCGUAGGCGGCCCGAUAAGUCUGCUGUGAAAGUCAACGGCUCAACCGUUGAAAGCCGGUGGAUACUGUCGGGCUAGAGUUCGGAAGAGGCAAGUGGAAUUCCUGGUGUAGCGGUGGAAUGCGCAGAUAUCAGGAGGAACACCCAUAGCGAAGGCAGCUUGCUGGGACGAUACUGACGCUAAGGCUCGAAAGCGUGGGGAGCGAACAGG